Long non-coding RNA from Balaenoptera acutorostrata (minke whale), 687 nucleotides. RefSeq lists it as uncharacterized. The transcript is spliced from 3 exons. The record is from RefSeq and is a predicted model, not a curated record. NCBI's taxonomy places the organism in Eukaryota, Metazoa, Chordata, Mammalia, Artiodactyla, Balaenopteridae.
AUACUCUGAAAGAAUGAUUAAAGAUCACAUCAGUGAUUUUGUCAGAAGGACAAGCACAGGUACCUGCUGGUCGAUACCUGUCUUCUGUAAGGUGCAGAGGGGAAGGAGAAAGGGAUUGACAUCAAAAAGACCAGCGUUGGGACCUGGCUUUACCACCAUGGGCAUGUUACUCUGCCCUGACAUCUCCUUUUCCUUAAAGAAUUGCUUCGAAGAUUAAAGACGGGCCCUAAAUGUGAAUCGAAACUGCAGAGAAGAUGGAAGGGGGAUUCAGAAGAGAUCUAAGAAAAUGGAAUCCAGGGAUAGAGAGCACAGCCUUCCAGGAAGAGUUAAAACAACUGCCAUUAUUUUGGCCUAAAGUUUUCCUAUAUUUUUUGUUAUUCAACCACUUUAAGAAUAAAGAAUGAGGCUCUUGGACUUCUCUGGUGGUGCAGUGGUUAAGAAUCCUCCUGCCAAUACAGGGACACGGGUUCGAUCCCUGGUCCAGGAAGAUCCCACAUGCCGCGGAGCAACUAAGCCCAUGCGCCACAACUACUGAGCCUGCAUGCCACAACUACUGAAGCCCGCGCACCUAGAGCCCGUGCUCCACAACAAGAGAAGCCACCGCAAUGAGAAGCCUGCACACCUCAACGAAGAGUAGCCCCCACUCGCCACAACUAGAGAAAGCUCGUGUGCAGCAACGAAGACCCA